AGCAGCCGCGGUAAUUCCAGCUCCAAUAGCGUAUAUUAAAGUUGUUGCAGCUAAAAAGCUCGCAGUUGAAUUUCGGGAUCUGUCCAUUGGUCGGGCCUCACGGUCCGUACUGGUGUGAUGGGUUCCUACCUUCUGAAUAACCAGCAUGCCAUUUAGUUGGUGCGCCGGGGAAGCAGAGCUAUUACCUUGAAAAAUUAGAGUGCUUAAAGCAGGCUAUUUGCUUGAAUAGAUUAGCAUGGAAUAAUAAAAUAGGACGGCAUGGUUCUAUUUUGUUGGUUUCUAGGAUCACCGUAAUGAUUAAUAGGGAUAGUUGGGG
This 316-nucleotide ribosomal RNA is filed under the name uncultured Acaulospora. Its description in RNAcentral is "SSU rRNA". It matches the Rfam family "Eukaryotic small subunit ribosomal RNA", at positions 569 to 887 of the family's 1831-position model. Lineage: Eukaryota; Fungi; Glomeromycota; Glomeromycetes; Diversisporales; Acaulosporaceae. The record is from RNAcentral.